RNAcentral lists this ribosomal RNA (1212 nucleotides) under Triticum aestivum (bread wheat). RNAcentral's name for it is "partial small subunit ribosomal RNA". Lineage: Eukaryota; Viridiplantae; Streptophyta; Magnoliopsida; Poales; Poaceae. The record is from RNAcentral.
AUGGAGCGGCUUCGUCUCACGGCAGUGGAGGCGCAGCCAGUGAUUCUUGAUGAUGAGGAUGAGGCGGAUCUGGUAGCCCUGGAUUGUGCCCUAGUGGGGAAGGUGAUGUCCCCUAAUCCUCUCCACAUCCAGACGAUCUCCUCGGCGAUGCGGCCGGCGUGGGGUAAUCCAAAAGGUUUGCUGUUCCAUCCCUCGGGGAAUAAUGUCUUCGUGGCAGAAUUUGGCACCCAGGCUGACAGGGCCAGGAUGAUCGAGGGCUCUCCAUGGAUGGUGGGCAAGCACGCGGUGCUUCUGAAAGUUUUUGAUCAAAAUGUUAAGCCCCUUCAGGUUCGGUUCGAUCGCCUAGCGAUUUGGGCUCGAAUUAUGAAUCAACCGCCGAGGCUGAUGAAGGCCAAGCUUGGGCGGGAGUUUGCCAAACCUAUUGGGCAGAUUUUGAGUGUGGAGUCAGAUAGCGAUGGUCGAUGCUGGGGUGGCUUCAUGAGAGUCAGAACUGAAAUCAAUGUGCAUGAGCCGAUUGUCCGUUAUAUUACUAUGACAUCUCUUAAGUUGAAGAGUACUGAGACUUUCUCGGUGAUGUAUGAGAGGUUGCCGUUCGUCUGUUUCUCCUGUGGCAUCCUGGGGCAUUCCUUGGUGAUGUGCCCUACUCCUGGCUUGUGGGAUGAGAACGGUGACUUACCCUAUGCUGCGAAGAAGCUAUGUGUCAAUGAUGAGCAUUCGAGGAGAUCCGGGGGCUCCAGGUCUAGUGCGGCCUCUUCUUCGUCUGCUACGACGGGUGACCGCGCCUUUGGUAACUCCAAAUUUGAAGCUGCGGGUUAUGUCAACUCUUCUGCCCCGGAUGGUAUGGAUACUGCUGGUGGUGAUGUUUCUUCGCCUAUCAAAUUUGGGGUGGCUGCUCGAGGCCGUGGCCGCACUUUCAGGGGUCGCGGCAGAGGGCGGGCCAGUGACCCUAGCCGUGAAUUGUUUUCAUCCACGCGGAAGAAAUCCGGGGCUGCCGGUCAGAAGAGGAAAUCAGGAAAAGCUUCCACAUCUUCUCCCUCUCAUGUGUUGGAGGAGGACAAUACCCUUGCUCUGGUUCCAGUACCGGGUGGACCUGUUUUGUGUCAUGCUGAGGCUCAAGACACCGACCUAGAGUCCAACAAGAAACAACGAAUUUCAGAACUUCGAUCGGCGGAUCCGGCGGAGGCUGCGGCGCAACCCCGCCAGACGCAAUGA